Molecule: transfer RNA, 83 nt
Filed under: bacterium
Lineage: Bacteria
Description: tRNA-Tyr
Rfam family: tRNA
About the family: Transfer RNA (tRNA) molecules are approximately 80 nucleotides in length. Their secondary structure includes four short double-helical elements and three loops (D, anti-codon, and T loops). Further hydrogen bonds mediate the characteristic L-shaped molecular structure. tRNAs have two regions of fundamental functional importance: the anti-codon, which is responsible for specific mRNA codon recognition, and the 3' end, to which the tRNAs corresponding amino acid is attached (by aminoacyl-tRNA synthetases). tRNAs cope with the degeneracy of the genetic code in two manners: having more than one tRNA (with a specific anti-codon) for a particular amino acid; and 'wobble' base-pairing, i.e. permitting non-standard base-pairing at the 3rd anti-codon position.
Source: RNAcentral
GGGUCGGUAGCGAAGUGGACAAACGCUCGACGCUGUAAACGUCGCGGCUUCGGCCUUCGGGGGUUCGAAUCCCUCCCGGCCCA